GACAUUGUUAAUUUCGGUUCCCACAUCUGUGAUGGCUACCUAGACUACUUCAACGCUGUGUUUUUCUUUUGUUUUUGACUGAAGUACCAACGCAGUCUUGCAAGUAAGAAUGCCUUCUAGCUCUCAUCUGAUAUCACACAUCCAACAAAAAUUUUAGUCACCGAAAGCAUAGAGAACGUGAAAAGUAGAAAUGUAGUGAUGCGAACAUAAAUCUUAUAUACUAUAGAUCGAAAAGUCAUGGUAUUUUAUUUUUGUGAGUGGGGAAGAAUAUAAUUGAAAAACGACAAUAUUUUCGUAUAUAUGAUACUAGCAAGGAAUAUGACCAAUGACUUUACUUAACGUCUGAUGUGUCAUAAGAAAAUCCUACGUGUGAAGAAAAAGGUAAAAUUAAUUUUGCCAUACACACAACUGCAUGAGUAGAUCACAAACCCUACCAAGGCAGUCCUAACCACGGAGUGCGUUCACCACUUGUUUUACCUUUGAUUUCCAUCUAUAAAAGCCUCGUUAGUCUCCCUUAUUCGUCCUAUAAACUCACAUCAACAUUAAAAAUCACUUUUCUUGCGUCUCUCUCUCCAUUACUUUUAUCAUCUAUCCACUUUUAACCAAAAAAAAAAAAACAAAUCACCUAUGUCUUUCGCCGCAAACUUGGUCAUCAUAAAUUUUUACUGUGCUUCUGCAGUGUGUGUUGAAGAAUUGUUGGACAAUUCUCGUGGAUCAUAUACUGAGAAUGGUGGAGAUGACGAUGACAGUGGCUACGAUUAUGCUCCUGCUGCAUGAUUUGUCUUCUACAUGAAAUAUAAUUUAAGAGGACUGGGAGAUAAUCAGGCAAUUUAGAUAUAUGGCUACGUAGGUACUAUACAGUGUGGGGAGUCUUCUUUCUUUGGCAGAGAGUGUGGUGAGUCUUCCUAGUAGGACAAACAUGAUUUCCAUACCGUAGAAAAUCAUCUCUUCCUUAACCAUAGUCACUUUUUGUUUCUUCAUUUAAGAAAUUAAGUUAUUGUUCAUUUAAGUUAUAUGGUCUUUUUGUUUCUCUAACGUUAACCUAUUGCUGAUUUAACUAAAUAAAUACUUUUUGGUACUUUCUAAACUUACUUUAUUCAUUCACGCAAUAUUCAAUUUUUCAAACCUGAAUUUAUAUUUUAAACCUAUUGGUUUACGAUCAAGUUGUGAGAACUUUCACAAUUUGAAAUUAGACUCAUGGCAGCCACAUGUAUUUGGAAAGAGCCAUAUUGGUUUAUUUGUGACAUGCAUUAUAUUGUACAAACAACAAUUUUGGCCCCGCUAAGCGUGGAAACUCUUCUUAGGCAUCACGUUUUAAAGUUCAAAAGCAUCAAAGAUAUCCUAAUUAACUGAGUUUUAGGGAAAAGGAGUAGAUUGUAAAACCCAAUCAUAACCAGAAUUAUGCUCAGUAAUACUUAAUUCAGUUAUAUAUAUUAUAUGAUAUCAAAGUUUACAUAGUGUUUGAGAUAGAUUGCAUCCCUCGAUAAGGUCUAUCAAGUAAAAAUGAACUCGGUUCAUUUAAAUAAAAAGCGGUCAAAGGGGCACACCGAUUUGAAGUAAAAGGGAAAGGAAUCGAUUAUAAAUAGGAAAGACCAAGCUUAAAGAAUCACCAACACACAUAACUCGCCACAAGAACUAUGGUUUAUUUAGUUUUACUUGUACUUGUCGAUUUCUUAAGCUUUUACGAGUUCUUAGUUCUUUCUAUUGUAAUCAACCUUUUGAUAUAUCCAUAAACAUCUUUCAAAUAACUCACCACCAAAUUUGUACCUAAUUCCGGUACGUGCCAAAUUCAGAUUAAACAAUUGGCACCGUGAUGCAAGCUCAAAUUAACCCUA
RNAcentral lists this long non-coding RNA (1835 nucleotides) under Brassica rapa (field mustard). RNAcentral's name for it is "long non-coding RNA (BRAP_LNC003565)". Lineage: Eukaryota; Viridiplantae; Streptophyta; Magnoliopsida; Brassicales; Brassicaceae. The record is from RNAcentral.